This 498-nucleotide ribosomal RNA is filed under the name uncultured bacterium. Its description in RNAcentral is "partial 16S ribosomal RNA". It matches the Rfam family "Bacterial small subunit ribosomal RNA", at positions 28 to 508 of the family's 1533-position model. The record is from RNAcentral.
GAUGAACGCUGGCGGCGUGCCUAAUACAUGCAAGUCGAGCGAACGGACGAGAAGCUUGCUUUUCUGAUGUUAGCGGCGGACGGGUGAGUAACACGUGGAUAACCUACCUAUAAGACUGGGAUAACUUCGGGAAACCGGAGCUAAUACCGGAUAAUAUUUUGAACCGCAUGGUUCAAAAGCGAAAGACGGUCUUGCUGUCACUUAUAGAUGGAUCCGCGCUGCAUUAGCUAGUUGGUAAGGUAACGGCUUACCAAGGCAACGAUGCAUAGCCGACCUGAGAGGGUGAUCGGCCACACUGGAACUGAGACACGGUCCAGACUCCUACGGGAGGCAGCAGUAGGGAAUCUUCCGCAAUGGGCGAAAGCCUGACGGAGCAACGCCGCGUGAGUGAUGAAGGUCUUCGGAUCGUAAAACUCUGUUAUUAGGGAAGAACAUAUGUGUAAGUAACUGUGCACAUCUUGACGGUACCUAAUCAGAAAGCCACGGCUAACUACGUGC